AGAGUUUGAUCCUGGCUCAGGACGAACGCUGGCGGCGCGCCUAAUACAUGCAAGUCGAGCGUGAAGCGGGACUUCGGUCCCGUGGAAAGCGGCGAACGGGUGCGUAACACGUGAGCAACCUGCCCCGAAGACUGGGAUAACACCGGGAAACCGGUGUUAAUACCAGAUGCCCUCUUCCGACCGCAUGAUCGGACGAGGAAAUGGAUUCCGCUUCGGGAUGGGCUCGCGGUCUAUCAGCUUGUUGGUGGGGUAACGGCCUACCAAGGCGACGACGGAUAGCUGGUCUGAGAGGACGAUCAGCCACACUGGGACUGAGACACGGCCCAGACUCCUACGGGAGGCAGCAGUAGGGAAUCUUGCGCAAUGGGCGAAAGCCUGACGCAGCGACGCCGCGUGCGGGAUGAAGGUCUUCGGAUUGUAAACCGCUUUCAGCAGGGACGAAAUUGACGGUACCUGCAGAAGAAGGCCCGGCCAACUACGUGCCAGCAGCCGCGGUAAUACGUAGGGGCCUAGCGUUGUCCGGAUUUAUUGGGCGUAAAGAGCUCGUAGGCGGUUUGGUUAGUCAGGUGUGAAAUCUCCACGCUCAACGUGGAGGGGCCACCUGAUACUGCCAUGACUUGAGUCCGGUAGGGGAGUGUGGAAUUCCCGGUGUAGCGGUGAAAUGCGCAGAUAUCGGGAGGAACACCCGUAGCGAAGGCGGCACUCUGGGCCGUGACUGACGCUGAGGAGCGAAAGCGUGGGGAGCAAACAGGAUUAGAUACCCUAGUAGUCC
Molecule: ribosomal RNA, 772 nt
Filed under: uncultured bacterium
Lineage: Bacteria
Description: bacterial SSU rRNA
Rfam family: Bacterial small subunit ribosomal RNA
Source: RNAcentral